UACGUAGGUCGCAAGCGUUGUCCGGAUUUACUGGGCGUAAAGAGCGCGCAGGCGGCUGGUCAAGUCCGAUGUGAAAUCUCCCGGCUCAACUGGGAAACUGCAUCGGAGACUGAUCGGCUUGAAGAUGGGAGAGGGUAGUGGAAUUCCCGGUGUAGUGGUGAAAUGCGUAGAUAUCGGGAGGAACACCAGUGGCGAAGGCGACUACCUGGCCCAUUCUUGACGCUGAGGCGCGAAAGCUAGGGGAGCGAACGGG
This 253-nucleotide ribosomal RNA is filed under the name uncultured bacterium. RNAcentral's name for it is "partial 16S ribosomal RNA". It matches the Rfam family "Bacterial small subunit ribosomal RNA", at positions 524 to 776 of the family's 1533-position model. The record is from RNAcentral.